UACGGAGGGUCCAAGCGUUAUCCGGAAUCAUUGGGUUUAAAGGGUCUGUAGGCGGUUUUGUAAGUCAGUGGUGAAAGCCCAUCGCUCAACGGUGGAACGGCCAUUGAUACUGCAAGACUUGAAUUAUUGGGAAGUAACUAGAAUAUGUAGUGUAGCGGUGAAAUGCUUAGAGAUUACAUGGAAUACCAAUUGCGAAGGCAGGUUACUACCAAUAUAUUGACGCUGAUGGACGAAAGCGUGGGGAGCGAACAGG
RNAcentral lists this ribosomal RNA (253 nucleotides) under uncultured bacterium. RNAcentral describes it as "partial 16S ribosomal RNA". It matches the Rfam family "Bacterial small subunit ribosomal RNA", at positions 524 to 776 of the family's 1533-position model. The record is from RNAcentral.